UACGUAGGGGGCGAGCGUUGUCCGGAAUGAUUGGGCGUAAAGGGCGCGUAGGCGGCCCUGUAAGUCUGAAGUGAAAGUCCUGCUUUUAAGGUGGGAAUUGCUUUGGAUACUGCAGAGCUUGAGUGUAGGAGAGGUAAGUGGAACUCCCAGUGUAGCGGUGAAAUGCGUAGAGAUUGGGAGGAACACCAGUGGCGAAGGCGACUUACUGGACUGUAGCUGACGCUGAGGCGCGAAAGUGUGGGGAGCAAAC
RNAcentral lists this ribosomal RNA (250 nucleotides) under uncultured prokaryote. RNAcentral describes it as "partial 16S ribosomal RNA". It matches the Rfam family "Bacterial small subunit ribosomal RNA", at positions 524 to 773 of the family's 1533-position model. The record is from RNAcentral.